This 321-nucleotide long non-coding RNA is filed under the name Bos taurus (domestic cattle). RNAcentral's name for it is "long non-coding RNA NONBTAT019786". The record is from RNAcentral. Lineage: Eukaryota; Metazoa; Chordata; Mammalia; Artiodactyla; Bovidae.
CUGAGCACCUGCGAGUUUAUUGAGCACACCCUGUGGGCAUGGCUUCAGGUAUGCCAGGCAUGUACAGAGAAGCUGACAGGAUGAUAGUUCAUCUGUGUUUUCUUACUAAGAAUCCCUUGGUGCUGAUAUAACCCUAUUUAUCUAACACCUGUAAUUGCAUGUGGCUUUUGAAAGAUGUUAUGGUGGCUUGCUUCACCACUUAUGCUUCAACUGGCAUCCUGGCCGCAAUUUUACUCCCCUCCUCCCAAAGCUGUGAAAGUGGAGUGACUACUGGGAUCAAAGAGGGAGAGAUCCUUAGGGACUCAAAGUAGGGAUCAUCAC